GUAGUCAUAUGCUUGUCUCAAAGAUUAAGCCAUGCAUGUCUAAGUAUAAGCAAUUACAAAGCGAAACUGCGAAUGGCUCAUUAUAUAAGUUAUCGUUUAUUUGAUAGUACCUUACUACAUGGAUAACCGUGGUAAUUCUAGAGCUAAUACAUGCUGAAAAUCCCGACUUCGGAAGGGAUGUAUUUAUUAGAUACAAAACCAAUGCCCCUCGGGGCUCUCUUGGUGAUUCAUGAUAACUUCUCGAAUCGCACGGCCCCGCGCCGGCGAUGGUUCAUUCAAAUUUCUUCCCUAUCAACUUUCGAUGCUACGGUAUUGUCCUAGCAUGGUUGCAACGGGUAACGGGGAAUGGGGCGGGGGCGGCGGGCCGGGCGCGGGGCGCGGCGGGCGA
RNAcentral lists this ribosomal RNA (388 nucleotides) under uncultured Verticillium. Its description in RNAcentral is "bacterial SSU rRNA". It matches the Rfam family "Eukaryotic small subunit ribosomal RNA", at positions 20 to 374 of the family's 1831-position model. The record is from RNAcentral. Lineage: Eukaryota; Fungi; Ascomycota; Sordariomycetes; Hypocreales.